GGCGGGCUGAGCCGAAUUGGCAAGGCAAUAGUCUUGAAAACUAUCGGGCCUUCGGGCCCUUGCAGGUUCGAGUCCUGCGCCCGCCG
This 86-nucleotide transfer RNA is filed under the name Candidatus Nealsoniibacteriota bacterium. Its description in RNAcentral is "Candidatus Nealsonbacteria bacterium tRNA-Ser". It matches the Rfam family "tRNA". Rfam says of the family: Transfer RNA (tRNA) molecules are approximately 80 nucleotides in length. Their secondary structure includes four short double-helical elements and three loops (D, anti-codon, and T loops). The record is from RNAcentral. Lineage: Bacteria; Candidatus Nealsoniibacteriota.